UACGAAGGGGGCUAGCGUUGUUCGGAAUUACUGGGCGUAAAGCGCACGUAGGCGGAUAUUUAAGUCAGGGGUGAAAUCCCGGGGCUCAACCCCGGAACUGCCUUUGAUACUGGGUAUCUCGAGUCCGAGAGAGGUGAGUGGAAUUCCGAGUGUAGAGGUGAAAUUCGUAGAUAUUCGGAGGAACACCAGUGGCGAAGGCGGCUCACUGGCUCGGCACUGACGCUGAGGUGCGAAAGCGUGGGGAGCAAACAGG
Molecule: ribosomal RNA, 253 nt
Filed under: uncultured bacterium
Lineage: Bacteria
Description: partial 16S ribosomal RNA
Rfam family: Bacterial small subunit ribosomal RNA
Source: RNAcentral